RNAcentral lists this ribosomal RNA (229 nucleotides) under uncultured bacterium. RNAcentral's name for it is "partial 16S ribosomal RNA". It matches the Rfam family "Bacterial small subunit ribosomal RNA", at positions 568 to 796 of the family's 1533-position model. The record is from RNAcentral.
CGCGUAGGCGGUCUGAUAAGUCAGUUGUGAAAGCCCGGGGCUCAACCCCGGAAGUGCAAUUGAAACUGUCAGGCUUGAGUAUGGUAGAGGGAAGUGGAAUUCCUGGUGUAGCGGUGAAAUGCGUAGAUAUCAGGAGGAACACCGGUGGCGAAGGCGGCUUCCUGGACCAAUACUGACGCUGAGGCGCGAAGGUGUGGGUAGCAAACAGGAUUAGAUACCCUGGUAGUCC